This 468-nucleotide ribosomal RNA is filed under the name uncultured bacterium. Its description in RNAcentral is "partial 16S ribosomal RNA". It matches the Rfam family "Bacterial small subunit ribosomal RNA", at positions 28 to 507 of the family's 1533-position model. The record is from RNAcentral.
GACGAACGCUGGCGGCGUGCUUAACACAUGCAAGUCGAACGGAAAGGCCCUGCUUUUGUGGGGUGCUCGAGUGGCGAACGGGUGAGUAACACGUGAGUAACCUGCCCUUGACUUUGGGAUAACUUCAGGAAACUGGGGCUAAUACCGGAUAGGAGCUCCUGCUGCAUGGUGGGGGUUGGAAAGUUUCGGCGGUUGGGGAUGGACUCGCGGCUUAUCAGCUUGUUGGUGGGGUAGUGGCUUACCAAGGCUUUGACGGGUAGCCGGCCUGAGAGGGUGACCGGCCACCUUGGGACUGAGAUACGGGCCCGAAUCCUACGGGGGGCAGCAGGGGGGGAUUUUGCACAAUGGGCCGAAGCCUUAUGCAGCAACGCCGCGUUCGGGAUGACGGCCUUCGGGUUGGUAACCGCUUUCGCCUGGGACGAAGCGUGAGUUACGGUAAUUGGUAAAGAAGCACCGGCUAACUACGUG